RNAcentral lists this ribosomal RNA (407 nucleotides) under uncultured bacterium. RNAcentral describes it as "partial 16S ribosomal RNA". It matches the Rfam family "Bacterial small subunit ribosomal RNA", at positions 30 to 526 of the family's 1533-position model. The record is from RNAcentral.
AUUGAACGCUGGCGGCAGGCCUAACACAUGCAAGUCGAGCGGAGCGGCGGACGGGUGAGUAAUGACUAGACAUCUAGCUGGUAGUGGGGGAUAACGUCCGGCAACGGGCGGUAAUACCGCAUACUAUCAGACGCGCCAAGGUCGGCUUAGAUAGUUGGUGGGGUAAAGGCCUACCAAGGUGACGGUCCGUCACUGGUCUGAGAUGAUGAUCAGUCACACUGGAAUUGAGACACGGUCCAGAUUCCCACGGGAGGCAUCAGUGGGGAAUAUUGGACAAUGGGCGAAAGCCUGAUCCAGCCAUGCCGCGUGUGUGAAGAAGGUCUUCGGAUUGUAAAGCACUUUAAGUUGGGAGGCGGUACCUACAGAAUAAGCACCGGCUAACUUCGUGCCAGCAGCCGCGGUAAUAC